UACGAAGGGGGCUAGCGUUGCUCGGAAUCACUGGGCGUAAAGCGCACGUAGGCGGAUUGAUAAGUCAGGGGUGAAAUCCUGGAGCUCAACUCCAGAACUGCCUUUGAUACUGGCGACCUUGAGUCCGGGAGAGGUGAGUGGAACUGCGAGUGUAGAGGUGAAAUUCGUGGAUAUUCGGAGGAACACCAGUGGCGAAGGCGGCUCACUGGUCCGGUACUGACGCUGAGGUGCGAAAGCGUGGGGAGCAAACAGG
This 253-nucleotide ribosomal RNA is filed under the name uncultured bacterium. Its description in RNAcentral is "partial 16S ribosomal RNA". It matches the Rfam family "Bacterial small subunit ribosomal RNA", at positions 524 to 776 of the family's 1533-position model. The record is from RNAcentral.